CCUACGGGUGGCAGCAGUGAGGAAUAUUGGUCAAUGGACGAGAGUCUGAACCAGCCAAGUAGCGUGAAGGAUGACUGCCCUAUGGGUUGUAAACUUCUUUUAUAUGGGAAUAAAACGUUCCACGUGUGGGAUUUUGUAUGUACCAUAUGAAUAAGGAUCGGCUAACUCCGUGCCAGCAGCCGCGGUAAUACGGAGGAUCCGAGCGUUAUCCGGAUUUAUUGGGUGUAAAGGGCGCGUAGGUGGAUUGUUAAGUCAGUUGUGAAAGUUUGCGGCUCAACCGUAAAAUUGCAGUUGAAACUGGCAGUCUUGAGUACAGUAGAGGUGGGCGGAAUUCGUGGUGUAGCGGUGAAAUGCUUAGAUAUCACGAAGAACUCUGAUUGCGAAGGCAGUUCACUGGACUGCAACUGACACUGAGGCUCGAAAGUGUGGGUAUCAAACAGGAUUAGAUACCCUGGUAGUC
Molecule: ribosomal RNA, 460 nt
Filed under: uncultured bacterium
Lineage: Bacteria
Description: partial 16S ribosomal RNA
Rfam family: Bacterial small subunit ribosomal RNA
Source: RNAcentral